This 71-nucleotide transfer RNA is filed under the name Ictidomys tridecemlineatus (thirteen-lined ground squirrel). RNAcentral describes it as "Spermophilus tridecemlineatus (thirteen-lined ground squirrel) tRNA". It matches the Rfam family "tRNA". From Rfam's summary of the family: Transfer RNA (tRNA) molecules are approximately 80 nucleotides in length. Their secondary structure includes four short double-helical elements and three loops (D, anti-codon, and T loops). Further hydrogen bonds mediate the characteristic L-shaped molecular structure. tRNAs have two regions of fundamental functional importance: the anti-codon, which is responsible for specific mRNA codon recognition, and the 3' end, to which the tRNAs corresponding amino acid is attached (by aminoacyl-tRNA synthetases). tRNAs cope with the degeneracy of the genetic code in two manners: having more than one tRNA (with a specific anti-codon) for a particular amino acid; and 'wobble' base-pairing, i.e. permitting non-standard base-pairing at the 3rd anti-codon position. Lineage: Eukaryota; Metazoa; Chordata; Mammalia; Rodentia; Sciuridae. The record is from Rfam by way of RNAcentral.
GGUGGGUAGCUCCAUGGUAGAGCACUUGCCUAGUAUGUGUGAGGCUCUGGGUUCAAUUCUCAGCACCACUU